GGCCGCGUGGCCUAAUGGCUAAGGCGCUAGAUUUCGGUUCCGAUACACCUUCUCUAGAGAUUCCAGGUUCGACUCCUGGCGUGGUCG
RNAcentral lists this transfer RNA (87 nucleotides) under Trichoderma virens Gv29-8. RNAcentral describes it as "tRNA-Arg for anticodon UCG". It matches the Rfam family "tRNA". Rfam says of the family: Transfer RNA (tRNA) molecules are approximately 80 nucleotides in length. Their secondary structure includes four short double-helical elements and three loops (D, anti-codon, and T loops). Lineage: Eukaryota; Fungi; Ascomycota; Sordariomycetes; Hypocreales; Hypocreaceae. The record is from Rfam by way of RNAcentral.